Molecule: long non-coding RNA, 958 nt
Filed under: Citrus x clementina
Lineage: Eukaryota; Viridiplantae; Streptophyta; Magnoliopsida; Sapindales; Rutaceae
Description: Citrus clementina (C. clementina) long non-coding RNA (CCLE_LNC003297)
Source: RNAcentral
CAAAAUCAAACCAUCCCACGCGCCCGUCGGACGGAGCGUGAAGUAAAGAGCUAUGGCCCCACCUAAGGACUCGGAAUACAAAAACGCGGGCAAAUCCGGUGCGUGUCUCAGAAUGACAUAUCACAUGUUAUAUUAAUUAUUUGGGAUGAAAUUUAAAAUAAAUAAAUUUAGUAUGCUUGCUUUUGCAUAAAACCAUCCCACGCGCCCGUCGGACGGAGCGUGAAGUAAAGAGCUAUGGCCCCACCUAAGGACCCGGAAUACAAAAACGCGGGCGAAUCCGGUGCGUGUCUCAGAAUGACAUAUCACAUGUUAUAUUAAUUAUUUGGGAUGAAAUUUAAAAUAAAUAAAUUUAGUAUGCUUGCUUUUGCAUAAAACCUUCUUUUUUUUGUAGGGUUAUUUUGGAUCUAAUAAUUUAAUUUAUAAAUAUAUUUUUGUUUUAUCAAUAAUAACAUUUAAUUUGCAACUGCAGGGGAUCUCUACUCCCUAGUGUUGGCUCGAGGAGACCUUGGCAACAACCAUUGCAACGAAUAUAUGAUAAGUUUUAUCACGACAAUUACUUGUUAAUUAAUUUCUUUGCACUUGAUGUACAACACAUAUCAUAUUAUAUCAAUUUUAAAGCUAUAUACUGAGAAUUCUAACAUAAUCAAAUGCAUAUAGGAGCAAUUAAUUGACAAUCAACACACCAAUUAGGAAAGCUAAACAUGUAUAAGGAAUUUACUGAGUAUCAGUAACAUAGUAGAAAUAUGAUAAAGUUAUGGUGAGACAUCUGUGACAAAAAAAUAAGUCAAUAUUUAAUUAUUAAAUAUAAAUUAUCACUAUAUUUGGUAUUGAGAUGUUGUGAUUAAAAAAAAUGAGAAAGUAUGGUAAUAUGUAAUAAUUUUAAAAGUUAUUAUGACUUUUUAUUAUAUAAAUAAAAUAAACUUAAUUUUUAGAUUAUAGCAGUAAGUAUUUAUUAAGC